RNAcentral lists this unclassified non-coding RNA (766 nucleotides) under Hevea brasiliensis (rubber tree). The record is from RNAcentral. Lineage: Eukaryota; Viridiplantae; Streptophyta; Magnoliopsida; Malpighiales; Euphorbiaceae.
AGACAGGAUUAUGGUCAACCGAACUACUGUUAUUGUUGCCCAUCGUUUGACCACUGUGAGAAAUGCUGAUAUGAUUGCUGUCAUUCAUAGAGGAAAGAUGGUCGAAAAAGGCACGCACUCAGAACUGCUUGAGGAUCCUGAUGGAGCAUACACUCAGCUUAUACGCUUACAGGAAGUAAAUAAAGAGACAGAACAAGCACCACAGGAUUACAGCAGGUCAGAAAUUUCUAUGGAAUCAUUUAGACAGUCAAGUCAAAGAAGGUCAUUGCGCCGUUCCAUAAGUAGGGGAUCAUCAAGAAAUAGCAGCCACCACUCGCUUUCACUCUCAUUUGGUUUACCCACAGGAUUCAAUGGCCCUGAAAAUGACCUUGCAGAUGUAGAAGAUUUUCCAUCAAAAGAACAAAUUCCAGAGGUCCCCAUCCGCCGCCUUGCCUAUCUCAACAAGCCAGAACUUCCAGUUCUUAUUGUUGGCACUAUUGCUGCAAGCAUAAAUGGUACAAUACUUCCAAUUUAUGGUAUACUGAUCUCGAAAGCAAUCAAAACAUUUUUUGAACCACCUCAUGAACUGAGAAAGGAUUCAAAGUUCUGGGCACUGAUGUUUACGACCCUUGGUCUUGCGUCAUUUGUGGUACACCCAUUCAGAACAUACUUCUUUUCUGUAGCUGGGUCCAAGUUAAUACAACGGAUCAGGUCCAUGUGUUUUGAGAAGGUGGUUCACAUGGAGAUUGGUUGGUUUGAUGAGCCUGAGCACUCAAGUGGUGCAAUU